RNAcentral lists this ribosomal RNA (253 nucleotides) under uncultured bacterium. Its description in RNAcentral is "partial 16S ribosomal RNA". It matches the Rfam family "Bacterial small subunit ribosomal RNA", at positions 524 to 776 of the family's 1533-position model. The record is from RNAcentral.
UACGGGGGGGGCAAGCGUUGUUCGGAAUUACUGGGCGUAAAGGGCUCGUAGGCGGCCAACUAAGUCGGAUGUGAAAUCCCCAGGCUCAACCUGGGAACUGCAUCCGAUACUGGAUGGCUUGAAUUCGGGAGAGGGAUGCAGAAUUCCAGGUGUAGCGGUGAAAUGCGUAGAUAUCGGGAGGAACACCGGUGGCGAAGGCGGUUCUCUGGGCCUUACCUGACGCUGAGGAGCGAAAGCGUGGGGAGCGAACAGG